GACGAACGCUGGCGGCGUGCCUAAAACAUGCAAGUCGAACGGUGUAGCAAUACACAGUGGCGAACGGCGGAGUAAUACAUAAGCAACGUGCCCUGAAGACUGGGAUAGUCAGAGGAAACUCUGGGUAAUACCAGAUGUGGUCCCUUUCCGGCAUCGGAGAGUGAUUAAAUGGUUUUUCGCUUCUGGAGCGGCUUAUGGCCUAUCAGGUAGUUGGUGGAGGUAACGGCUCACCAAGCCGACGACGGGUAGCGGGUCGUGAGAGGAUGAUCCGCUCGAGUGGGACGUGAGACACGGCCCACCACACCUACGGGUGGGCAGCAGUUGGGUAAGUCUUGCACAAUAGGACGAAAGUACUGAUGCAGCGACACCGCGUGGAGGAUGAAGG
RNAcentral lists this ribosomal RNA (385 nucleotides) under uncultured bacterium. RNAcentral describes it as "bacterial SSU rRNA". It matches the Rfam family "Bacterial small subunit ribosomal RNA", at positions 28 to 414 of the family's 1533-position model. The record is from RNAcentral.